Molecule: transfer RNA, 75 nt
Filed under: Candidatus Segetimicrobium genomatis
Lineage: Bacteria; Bacillati; Candidatus Sysuimicrobiota; Candidatus Sysuimicrobiia; Candidatus Sysuimicrobiales; Candidatus Segetimicrobiaceae
Description: Terrabacteria group bacterium ANGP1 tRNA-Val
Rfam family: tRNA
About the family: Transfer RNA (tRNA) molecules are approximately 80 nucleotides in length.
Source: RNAcentral
GGGCGGUUAGCUCAGUGGCAGAGCGCAUCCCUCACACGGAUGAGGUCGCAGGUUCAAAACCUGCACCGCCCACCA